AUGAGAAUUACAGUUUGGAACUGCCGGGGAUUGGGGAUCGGCCCGGCAAUAAGAGGACUUCUGGACCUCCAGAAGCAGGCAGACCCCAAUGUUCUCUUCUUGUCAGAAACAAGGAUGGAUGAGAGAGGAAUGGAACAAUUCAAAUGGAUGCUUGGCAUGGGAAAUAUGAUAGUUAAGGAAUGUGAUGGGAAGAGUGGUGGUUUGGCAAUAUUGUGGAAAAGGGAAAUAAACCUUGAGUUGCAUAAUUACUCAAGAUAUGACAUUGAUGUUGAAGUGAUAGAAAAUGAUGGUUUUAGAUGGAGGUUUAUAGGAAUAUAUGGCGAACCAGCCCGGGACAAAAGUGGAAGACAUGGAGAUUGUUGA
This 363-nucleotide ribosomal RNA is filed under the name Triticum aestivum (bread wheat). RNAcentral describes it as "partial small subunit ribosomal RNA". The record is from RNAcentral. Lineage: Eukaryota; Viridiplantae; Streptophyta; Magnoliopsida; Poales; Poaceae.